Molecule: long non-coding RNA, 2509 nt
Organism: Pygocentrus nattereri (red-bellied piranha)
Lineage: Eukaryota; Metazoa; Chordata; Actinopteri; Characiformes; Serrasalmidae
Source: Ensembl
GUCAUCAUAACGAACUCGGUUAUUGGUGCCGUGUUGGUUAAUUGCUGUAUUAUUCCGUGUUGUGAUUAAAACGACAUUUGGAGGUGGGGCUUUCUUGCAUUCUGGUGGGUUUUGGAAAUGUUCUGGCUGGAAACCAUAGACGCAAUCUGGCAACCCUGCCCCUGAUUGCCCCUCAUUGGCUCAGGCGUGUACAUGGCGAAGAUGUGAACGCUCGCUGAGCAGCACACAUGGGCUGAGGCAUCGGGCUGGAGCGUGGAGAGGCGCACAGCGGGGCUGUGUUUUGCUUUGGGGGAAAAGAUCAGACUAGGACCAGGACCUGAUCAUCAUAAUCAUCAUCAUGAUCAUGCUGCCUUGAACCCUCGAACCAGCGUCUGGUCUCGAACCGCCUCCUCCUCCUCCUGCUUCCCUCCUCCCCUCUCUUCUCCUCCUCUCUUCUCCGCUCUUCUCCACGGCGCUUUUCUGAAGAGCACUCGCUGCUCAGUCUCAGUCUUGUCGCGGAGAUGAGCGCGCGGCCGCAAGUUCCCCCGCUCAUCAUCAUGUAAGUUAAGGGGGGAGGUCGAUUGAUGUGGCGGGCCAAAGAAGAAGGAGCUCGAGCAGCAAAUCGAGGAGCCUCGGCCAAAAGCAAACCCUGCGAAUCGGAUUUGAAAACGGAGGUCCUGCUCAGACCCCAGCCCCCUGAUCUGGACCUGGAUCUCGGAAUGGUGUGUCAGGACCCCACUGGGUUCGGAAAUGCACCAUGUUUAUGCGAGCAAUGAGCCUGACAGACAUGUCUGGUUUCUCCUUUCCCAACGUGAUGCAGUUGGCCUUGCCGGCUCGGAGCACAGAUAAUCUGGACAGUUCCGGGGAGCCCGCCACCCGCUCAGUUGGCACCACUGCCAACUUGAAGGGGAAGAUGAGCAAGAGGCUGUCUGUUGUCAAAGGCCACUUCCCAAAGCUUGUAGACUGUGCCCACUUUCACUAUGAGAAUGUGGACUUUGGUUCCAUUGAGCUGCAGUUUGCUAGCGAGCAGAGCGAUGCUAGCUGGAGCUCAGCCAGUGCCAAAGACCUGGUCUUCCUUGUGCAGGUCUCCUGCCAGGGUAAGACGUGGAUGGUGCGCCGCUCAUAUGAAGAGUUCCGGACACUGGAUGCUCAUCUGCACCAGUGCAUCUAUGACCGGCGUUACUCCCAGCUACUGCCCCUGCCCGCACUCGCUGAGAUUGGGGACAGAAUCUUCACCCCUAUGCUCUCUGAGUACCUGAACCGUCUCUCCAUGAUCGUGGACAGUAAGCUGAACUGUGGGCCUGUGCUCACCUGGAUGGAGAUUGACAAUCACGGCAACCGGUUUCUGCUGAAAGAAGAGGCGUCUUUAAAUGUCCCUGCGAUUGCGGCAGCUCAUGUGAUCAAGCGAUACACUGCCCAAGCCAGUGACGAGAUCUCCAUUGAGGUUGGCGAUAUUUUGUCAGUGAUUGAUAUGCCACCCAAAGAGGAGACCACCUGGUGGAGAGGAAAGCAUGGCUUCCAGGUUGGCUUCUUCCCCAGUGAGUGUGUAGAGCUGAUCAGUGAGAAGGUACCCCAAACCACUUGUUUUCUGCCCAUUUGCCAGUUUGUCACAUUAGCUCUCUUGCGCCCCCUUUUGUCAGUGUCCAAGAAACACGGCAAGCUGAUGGGUUUCUUGCGCACCUUUAUGAAGUCCAGACCCAGCAAGCAGAAACUGAAGCAGCGGGGCAUCCUGAAGGAGCGGGUCUUCGGCUGCGACCUGGGAGAACACCUCCUCAACUCCGGGCAAGACGUUCCCCAGGUAUUAAAGAGCUGCUCUGAGUUCAUAGAGAUGCACGGCGUUGUGGACGGCAUCUACAGACAUUCUGGAGUUUCCUCCAACAUCCAGAAGCUCAGGCACGAGUUUGACAGCGAGAAUGUUCCGGACCUAACUAAAGACGUGUACAUGCAGGACAUUCACUGUGUCGGCUCUCUCUGCAAGCUGUACUUCAGAGAGCUGCCCAAUCCGCUCCUCACGUACCAGCUCUAUGACAAGUUUGCUGACUGUAUGGGGGAGAUGACUGAGGAUGAGCGCAUGGUGAAAGUGCAUGAUGUCAUCCAGCAGCUACCUCCUCCCCACUACAGGACGCUGGAGUACCUCAUGAGACAUCUAGCCUUGCUGGCCACCAAGAGUGAGAAGACCAACAUGCAUGUUAAAAAUUUGGCCAUUGUCUGGGCCCCAAACCUGCUCAGGUCUAAGGAAAUCGAGGCAGUGGGGCUCAGUGGAGCUGACCCAUUUAAGGAGGUGCGCAUCCAGUCUGUGGUGGUGGAGUUCCUGCUCACCAAUGUGGAUGUGUUGUUCAGCGACUCUUUCACGUCAGUGGGCCGUUUCAGCUUGUUGUCAUCACUUUUUCGUCUUUUCCCUGCCGUCCCCAGCACCAAACAAACAUCUGUUGCUCAGUAUCUGCUUAAAUGCUUACGGUUGUUGUGUUUGCAGUACUUUGUUCAAAAUGAGAUUACAGUCUGUCUUUAUGUCUUGCUGAUGUUUGCCUGA